GUGGCCUUGAGCCGUGGCUUUCGGAGCUAACGCGUUAAGUAGACCGCCUGGGGAGUACGGUCGCAAGAUUAAAACUCAAAUGAAUUGACGGGGGCCCGCACAAGCGGUGGAGCAUGUGGUUUAAUUCGAUGCAACGCGAAGAACCUUACCUACUCUUGACAUCCAGAGAACUUUCCAGAGAUGGAUUGGUGCCUUCGGGAACUCUGAGACAGGUGCUGCAUGGCUGUCGUCAGCUCGUGUCGUGAG
RNAcentral lists this ribosomal RNA (246 nucleotides) under Vibrio sp. a3s13. RNAcentral describes it as "partial 16S ribosomal RNA". It matches the Rfam family "Bacterial small subunit ribosomal RNA", at positions 826 to 1071 of the family's 1533-position model. RNAcentral also lists the same sequence under 2 other names. Lineage: Bacteria; Pseudomonadati; Pseudomonadota; Gammaproteobacteria; Vibrionales; Vibrionaceae. The record is from RNAcentral.